ACAGUGAGUAGAAUCUGGUAUUAGUGAAUAUUGCUCAAGUUUAAGCAAGGGAGAACAUCAGGAAGGAAGAAGACUUUGCCACCAUGAUGUGUUUAACUAAGUCAAAAGACAAUGAUUUUAUCUUCCUGGUUCAGAAGUCAUCAACAUUGGGGCUGUGGAAAUUAAAAGCAUCCUUGGUAUAAAACAGAGAUACAACCGACAGAAAUUUUGCAAUAAAUCUUCAAGCAGACAAAAUAGCCUUGUUUCUUUUCGGCACUGACAGGAAAAACAGGACAGAAAAUGGAGCAGAGAUUGAAGAAAGGGCCAUCUGAGGACUGUCCCUCCUGGAAUCCAUCCUGUCUGCAGACACCAAACCUGACACUGCUGCUGUUGCCAAGGGGCACAUGUGGCUGCUCCUUAGAAGGUUCAAACAGCAACUGUCCAAAGCAGACAUGGAUGCUUGGAGACUGAGCUCAGGAACCAGGAAUAUAACUGGGAAGAACUGAACCAGUUUUCCUUCCUUGGACUCUGGAUUGAAGAGGACCAGAAUUACAAACACUUACCAUGAUGCUAGUCUGUGGCCUAAUUAUGUAAUUGGAGGUAAAUGUCAUGUUGUUAAAUAAUAAAACAAUGCCUGCC
Non-coding RNA from Rattus norvegicus (Norway rat), 618 nucleotides. The record is from RefSeq and is a predicted model, not a curated record. Lineage: Eukaryota; Metazoa; Chordata; Mammalia; Rodentia; Muridae.